UUAUUUGAGAGUUUGAUCCUGGCUCAGGAUGAACGCUGGCGGCGUGCCUAACACAUGCAAGUCGAGCGCGACUGAUUUGAUGCUUGCAUUAAUGAAAGUUGAGCGGCGGACGGGUGAGUAACGCGUGGGUAACCUGCCCUAUACACAUGGAUAACAUACUGAAAAGUUUACUAAUACAUGAUAACGUAGUUUUUCGGCAUCGAAGAAUUAUCAAAGCGUUAGCGGUAUAGGAUGGACCCGCGUCUGAUUAGCUAGUUGGUGAGAUAACUGCCCACCAAGGCGACGAUCAGUAGCCGACCUGAGAGGGUGAUCGGCCACAUUGGAACUGAGACACGGUC
RNAcentral lists this ribosomal RNA (338 nucleotides) under Peptostreptococcus porci. RNAcentral's name for it is "bacterial SSU rRNA". It matches the Rfam family "Bacterial small subunit ribosomal RNA", at positions 1 to 331 of the family's 1533-position model. The record is from RNAcentral. Lineage: Bacteria; Bacillati; Bacillota; Clostridia; Peptostreptococcales; Peptostreptococcaceae.